UACGGGGGGAGCAAGCGUUGUUCGGAUUUACUGGGCGUAAAGGGCGCGUAGGCGGCCACCGCAAGUCGACUGUGAAAUCUCCGGGCUUAACCCGGAAAGGUCAGCCGAUACUGCGGGGCUAGAGUGCAGAAGGGGCAACUGGAAUUCCUGGUGUAGCGGUGAAAUGCGCAGAUAUCAGGAGGAACACCGAUGGCGAAGGCAGGUCUCUGGGCAUUAACUGACGCUGAGGAGCGAAAGCAUGGGGAGCGAACAGG
RNAcentral lists this ribosomal RNA (254 nucleotides) under uncultured bacterium. RNAcentral's name for it is "partial 16S ribosomal RNA". It matches the Rfam family "Bacterial small subunit ribosomal RNA", at positions 524 to 776 of the family's 1533-position model. The record is from RNAcentral.